RNAcentral lists this non-coding RNA (30 nucleotides) under Macaca fascicularis (crab-eating macaque). The record is from RNAcentral. Lineage: Eukaryota; Metazoa; Chordata; Mammalia; Primates; Cercopithecidae. RNAcentral also lists the same sequence under 1 other name.
UGAUAUUUGUUCAGGAAUUCACCCAUCUGU